RNAcentral lists this ribosomal RNA (400 nucleotides) under uncultured bacterium. RNAcentral's name for it is "bacterial SSU rRNA". It matches the Rfam family "Bacterial small subunit ribosomal RNA", at positions 356 to 773 of the family's 1533-position model. The record is from RNAcentral.
GAGGAAUAUUGCACAAUGGGGGGAACCCUGAUGCAGCAACGCCGCGUGGAGGAUGACGCAUUUCGGUGUGUAAACUCCUUUUAUAUGUCAAGAAAAUGACGGUAGCAUAUGAAUAAGCACCGGCUAACUCCGUGCCAGCAGCCGCGGUAAUACGGAGGGUGCAAGCGUUACUCGGAAUCACUGGGCGUAAAGGACGCGUAGGCUGUUUAGCAAGUCAGAUGUGAAAUCCAAUGGCUCAACCAUUGAACUGCAUUUGAAACUGCUAGACUAGAGUAUGGGAGGGGGAGAUGGAAUUAGUGGUGUAGGGGUAAAAUCCGUAGAUAUCACUAGGAAUACCUAAAGCGAAGGCGAUCUCCUGGAACAUUACUGACGCUAAGGCGUGAAAGCGUGGGGAGCAAAC